RNAcentral lists this ribosomal RNA (237 nucleotides) under uncultured bacterium. Its description in RNAcentral is "partial 16S ribosomal RNA". It matches the Rfam family "Bacterial small subunit ribosomal RNA", at positions 100 to 334 of the family's 1533-position model. The record is from RNAcentral.
CCGGCACGGGUGAGUAACACGUAUCCAACCUGCCGUCUACUCUUGGACAGCCUUCUGAAAGGAAGAUUAAUACAAGAUGGCAUCAUGAGUCCGCAUGUUCACAUGAUUAAAGGUAUUCCGGUAGACGAUGGGGAUGCGUUCCAUUAGAUAGUAGGCGGGGUAACGGCCCACCUAGUCUUCGAUGGAUAGGGGUUCAGAGAGGAAGGUCCCCCACAUUGGAACUGAGACACGGUCCAA